CUCAAAGAUUAAGCCAUGGAGUGGUAAUCAAUAUAUUACCCGACAGUUUAAAUAAGUGAUUCGCAACCACUCACUAUACACGCACGCUGWAUAUACDACGCACGACUCGGUACAAACUCGACUAUAUGAAGCCUCUUUUAUUCUAUCUCRCAGGGAGUAUAGUUUUUUACGCCAUACGUAGAGUAUAAACAACGCAUAGCAUACACUUAUGCAACUGCWGAUAGCUGCUUAAUACAGUUACACUUGUCUUGACUUGGCAAUUAAUACACACACAACGCGGUGUAUAUAUGAUAUGACACACACUGCGCGUUAUACCCACCCACACACACAGCUAAAGGUAAAUUAUCUUAAAGCAAGUGUUACCCGGUACCAAUGAUCAACACGGGAAGGCAGGCCUUAAAGGAGUAUGCCGAUCUGCGGGGAAAGUAACCUAUGUGACUAGACUGUAUUUACUGAGAUUUUGAAGUUAUUAAGCCGUAUAAACAAUCCAUGCGACAUAUAACACGCAGGGUGUAUAAUGUCCCAAGCGCGUAACAUAUCCUGCGUUGGGUGUUUAUGAACUAUAUACCGAAGGGAUAUAGAUAGGUGCUAACGUCUGCAACACGUUUGGAACGGCGCGUAGUAAAACAAGAGAAUAACCUUAAUCGCAUAGCAUUUUUACAUAUACGACGUGGUGACGCGCGUAUUUGUUAUUAGUAACGGCAGGUGGCUAUACUAAAUGGCCUUUGACUACUCAUGCAGAUCGCGGGGAUAAUCAUACUAAAAGCCAAUAUANCGGCACCCGUAGAGUGAGUAUCAUUGUGUACAAUACACCACCGCGUGUAUUAAUUAAUAUACUAUAGAUGCGAUNUCUGAUGUAAUCCACCCAUACACACACACACACGACGGAUAACUCAGGGAAAGUUUGGCUAAUACGUACGACACACACACACACACGAUACUAAUACUCGGCACUCAAUGGGAUGUUUAUAUACCUCCUUUGCUUCAUGAAAGACAUUGAGUACGCUUGCACCUUCCAUUCAUUAACGUGAAUAGCAAACACGCUGAGCAGACUUCAAUAUAUUUAUAUAUUGAAGCGUGUCAUACAAGCAUCUAUAGCAUCAAGUUACGGGUUGGCAAGUGUAUUUUUGAACCUUCAAAGCAGUCACGCAUACGGAGGAGUAGUUUCUGAUCCCAUAGAAGGAGCACAGUACAAUGAGAGACCGCUCUUAGUUCUAAGGAACGCAGCAGGCGCGUAAAUUGCCCAAUGUUAGUACCAAACGCAGGUAUAUAAUAUGGAAUAAUUUACUGUACCGUCGUCGUCGUAAAUACACGCAUUAUAUAGUACCCCUUGACGCAUACCUUUCAACGCAGCGCGUAUAGUAGAAAUUCCCUUCUAUUAUAUUCAAUGUAAUGAGGCAGUGACAAGCUGUAACGGUUGAGUAUAAAAAAUGACGAGUGUCUAGCAUUGUCGCCUUCGGGCUUGGCAUUAUUGCUGACGCUUCGUAUGCUCAAUUGGACUGCGGUGAGUUCAAUAUACUCAGAACCAUUCAUACACAGCCGCCGCUGUGUAUGAAUUAUCUGAAUAACUUCAAGUAGAGGGCAAGUCUGGUGCCAGCAGCCGCGGUAAUACCAGCUCUACUGGCCUAUACAAUCAUUGUUGCGGUUAAGAGGCUCGUAGUUGGAUUGGAAAUAUACUGCACACACACACACGCAGAUAUAUAUACUACCUACGGGUGGUUCGACUAUCAUUAACACGCACGCACGCGCAGAUACAACACUGUGAACAAAUCAGAGUGUAUCAUACAUGUCUUUUAAUUAAAAUUAUGCAUUGAAUGUCUCAUCAUGGGAUGUUGCAAUAUAUACUACGUGUCGCACACACGGGAUACAAUGAUAAGUCGAUGGGGAUAGUUGGAGUUAGCAGUACUGUUGGGCGAGCGGUGAAAUACGUUGACCCUGGCAAGACUACCAGAAGCGAAAGCGGCUAACUAGGCUAUUCUCUUUGUGAAUGUACCAUACACCACGCACGCGCACGUAUGACACACACAAUAUACACAACGAAGAACGAAGGUUGGGGGAUCAAAGAGGAUCAGAUACCCUCGUCGUCCCAUUUUUUACAUCAAACUAUGGGCUCUCAUUCGCUACAUAAUGCAGAGACAAAAACGACACUCCCUCAUAACAACCAUACAAUAAAAAUAUAUACAUUACGCCUUGAUUGAGCCUACCCUGCUCUCAUAUAGUAAUCAAUAUUUUAUAUACGGUCUCGAUGGACGUUUUUAAAUAUAUAUAUUUUUAUAUAUUUAUUUGCGUGUAAGCUAUCCAUUGGAUACGCGUACACUUUGAUUUUAGGAGCUUUGAGCUCAUAUUAUCAAUGGUUAGAUGCAAGUAUCAAUACAUGUGUGUGAGUCAUAUUAAUCUAUGACACACACACAUACAUACAAAACAUGAUACGACGCACGCUUUAGGCACGCGCUUACUGCAGAAAUGUCUGAGACAUUCCCCUCCGGGGGUAGUAUGCACGCAAGUGUGAAACUUGAAGGAAUUGACGGAAGGGCACCACAAGAACGCGUGGAGCAUGUGGCUUAAUUUGACUCAACGCAGGAAAUCUUACCGGGUCCGGACACACUGAGGAUUGACAGAUAACGUGCUGUUAUACGGUGCAAAAUAUGAUAGCUCUUUCAUAAUUAUGUGAUAGGUGGUGCAUGGCCGUUCUUAGUUCGUGGAGUGAUCUGUCUGCUUAAUUGCGUUGGUAUAUAUAAUGCAUGUUAAUUGCAUUUUUACCAUGCAACGAACGUGACCGCAACCUCCUGUUGCACUAUAGCUUCUCAUGGUGCAAAACUAGAGGGACCGCUGUAUUUAUUUCUUUUAGCCAGAGGAAGGAUGCGGCAAUAACAGGUCUGUGAUGCCCUCAGAUGUCCCGGGCUGCACACGUGCUACAAUGAUUAUUGCACUGCGUAUCUUCUAACGCGGCGAUUUAAUUAAUUUAAAAUCACCGCGACACCCGUGUCGAUAGGCUAUACGGGUAACCCUUUAGAAGUAAUGAUUUCCAAUGUAUUUAUAUCAACUCAUGGUGGGGACAGACCAUUGAUAAUUGUUGGUCUCGGUCACAACUAGGAAUGCCUUGUACGAGUUGGUUCAUUAAACCACUCGGAAUACGUCCCUGCCCUUUGUACACACCGCCCGUCGCUCUUACCGAUGGA
RNAcentral lists this ribosomal RNA (3179 nucleotides) under Cribroelphidium albiumbilicatum. Its description in RNAcentral is "SSU rRNA". The stretch from base 732 to 3179 matches the Rfam family "Eukaryotic small subunit ribosomal RNA". The record is from RNAcentral. Lineage: Eukaryota; Foraminifera; Rotaliida; Elphidiidae.